RNAcentral lists this ribosomal RNA (497 nucleotides) under uncultured bacterium. RNAcentral describes it as "partial 16S ribosomal RNA". It matches the Rfam family "Bacterial small subunit ribosomal RNA", at positions 28 to 507 of the family's 1533-position model. The record is from RNAcentral.
GAUGAACGCUGGCGGCGUGCCUAAUACAUGCAAGUCGAGCGAACAGAUGAGGAGCUUGCUCCUCUGACGUUAGCGGCGGACGGGUGAGUAACACGUGGAUAACCUACCUAUAAGACUGGGAUAACUUCGGGAAACCGGAGCUAAUACCGGAUAAUAUAUUGAACCGCAUGGUUCAAUAGUGAAAGACGGUUUUGCUGUCACUUAUAGAUGGAUCCGCGCCGCAUUAGCUAGUUGGUAAGGUAACGGCUUACCAAGGCAACGAUGCGUAGCCGACCUGAGAGGGGGAUCGGCCACACUGGAACUGAGACACGGUCCAGACUCCUACGGGAGGCAGCAGUAGGGAAUCGUCCGCAAUGGGCGAAAGCCUGACGGAGCAACGCCGCGUGAGUGAUGAAGGUCUUCGGAUCGUAAAACUCUGUUAUUAGGGAAGAACAAAUGUGUAAGUAACUAUGCCCGUCUUGACGGUACCUAAUCAGAAAGCCACGGCUAACUACGUG